AAGGGGUUUUGCUUGGCGUCGUCACAGAAAGAAAGAAAGAUGGCGGCCAAUGGUGCAAGAAGAACCCUUCAGUUCUCUUCAACUUCUGCAAAAGCCCUCUUAACCCGUUCACCACCACCACCAACAACAAAAACGAUAUCUUCCCUUUUUGCUUCAAAAGCCGCUAGCUUGAGUGGACUCUUUCCUAAGCCCUCCUCUUGUAGUCGCUUAUCACUCCACAAGCUAAACUUCUCCAGGCUUCCUGUGGAG
Molecule: unclassified non-coding RNA, 249 nt
Filed under: Hevea brasiliensis (rubber tree)
Lineage: Eukaryota; Viridiplantae; Streptophyta; Magnoliopsida; Malpighiales; Euphorbiaceae
Source: RNAcentral